GAUGCAGUCAAAAACGCGGCUCGACAUUGUGUGCUCUCACCACUCCCUCGCACACU
This 56-nucleotide transfer RNA is filed under the name Diaphanoeca grandis. Lineage: Eukaryota; Choanoflagellata; Acanthoecida; Stephanoecidae. The record is from RNAcentral.